CCCUUAGAUGUUCUGGGCUGCACGCGCGCUACACUGAUGCGCUCAACGAGUUUUAACCUUGCCUGGAAAGGUUGGGUAAUCUUUUUAAAACGCAUCGUGAUGGGGAUAGAUUAUUGCAAUUAUUAAUCUUCAACGAGGAAUGCCUAGUAAGCGCAAGUCAUCAGCUUGCGUUGAUUACGUCCCUGCCCUUUGUACACACCGCCCGUCGCUCCUACCGAUUGAAUGGUCCGGUGAAGCGCUCGGACCGCGGCCUCUUGACGGUUUUCCGUCGAUUGGCUGUGGGAAGUUCGUUAAACCUUAUCAUUUAGAGGAAGGAGAAGUCGUAACA
This 328-nucleotide ribosomal RNA is filed under the name uncultured eukaryote. Its description in RNAcentral is "partial 18S ribosomal RNA". It matches the Rfam family "Eukaryotic small subunit ribosomal RNA", at positions 1470 to 1796 of the family's 1831-position model. The record is from RNAcentral.